This 62-nucleotide transfer RNA is filed under the name Dipodomys ordii (Ord's kangaroo rat). It matches the Rfam family "tRNA", at positions 8 to 63 of the family's 71-position model. From Rfam's summary of the family: Transfer RNA (tRNA) molecules are approximately 80 nucleotides in length. Their secondary structure includes four short double-helical elements and three loops (D, anti-codon, and T loops). Further hydrogen bonds mediate the characteristic L-shaped molecular structure. tRNAs have two regions of fundamental functional importance: the anti-codon, which is responsible for specific mRNA codon recognition, and the 3' end, to which the tRNAs corresponding amino acid is attached (by aminoacyl-tRNA synthetases). tRNAs cope with the degeneracy of the genetic code in two manners: having more than one tRNA (with a specific anti-codon) for a particular amino acid; and 'wobble' base-pairing, i.e. permitting non-standard base-pairing at the 3rd anti-codon position. Lineage: Eukaryota; Metazoa; Chordata; Mammalia; Rodentia; Heteromyidae. The record is from Rfam by way of RNAcentral.
GUAGCUCAGUGGUAGAGCACUUGCUUAGCAUGCAUGAGGCCCUGGGGGUGAAUCCCAGUACA